AUUGAACGCUGGCGGCAUGCCUUACACAUGCAAGUCGAACGGCAGCACGGGAGCAAUCCUGGUGGCGAGUGGCGAACGGGUGAGUAAAGUAUCGGAACGUGCCCAGUCGUGGGGGAUAACGUAGCGAAAGUUACGCUAAUACCGCAUACGAUCUAUGGAUGAAAGCGGGGGAUCGCAAGACCUCGCGCGAUUGGAGCGGCCGAUAUCAGAUUAGGUAGUUGGUGGGGUAAAGGCUCACCAAGCCGACGAUCUGUACCUGGUCUGAUAGGACGACCAGCCACACUGGGACUGAGACACGGCCCAGACUCCUACGGGAGGCAGCAGUGGUGAAUUUUGGACAAUGGGGGAAAGCCUGAUCCAGCCAUGCCGCGUGCAUGAUGAAGGCCUUCGGGUUGUAAACUGCUUUUGUACGGAACGAAAAGGUUUGGCCUAAUAAGCUGAGCUCAUGACGGUACCGUAAGAAUAAGCACCGGCUAACUACGUGCCAGCAGCCGCCGCGG
This 500-nucleotide ribosomal RNA is filed under the name uncultured bacterium. Its description in RNAcentral is "partial 16S ribosomal RNA". It matches the Rfam family "Bacterial small subunit ribosomal RNA", at positions 30 to 523 of the family's 1533-position model. The record is from RNAcentral.